CGCAUCUGUGCAUGCAGCAUAUCAAUAAGCGGAGGAAAAGAAACUAACAAGGAUUCCCCUAGUAACGGCGAGUGAAGCGGGAAGAGCUCAAAUUUGAAAUCUUAAAGGGUUUCCCUUUACGAAUUGUAGUUUAAAGAAGUGUUUUCUGUUGAGGUUUUGGUAAAAGUUCUUUGGAAUAGGACAUCAUAGAGGGUGAGAAUCCCGUAUUUGACCUUUACUUUCAACUUUGUGAUACACUUUCAAAGAGUCGGAUUGUUUGGGAAUGCAGUCCAAAAUGGGUGGUAAAUUUCAUCUAAAGCUAAAUAUUGGCGAGAGACCGAUAGCGAACAAGUACCGUGAGGGAAAGAUGAAAAGAACUUUGAAAAGAGAGUUAAACAGUACGUGAAAUUGUCAAAAGGGAAGCGUUUGACACCAGUGUUGUUUUUCUGAAAAUCAAUUAAAGAACUGUUUAUGCUAAGCUGUUUAGACUUUAUCAGCUAUCUGUUUAGUUUUGAGCUUUUCUUAAUGCACUUUUCAGUUAACAAGUCAACAUCAAUUUCUUUUGCUGUAAAAAAGCUUGAGGAAGGUGGCUUGAGAUUCGUCUUAAGUGUUUAUAGCCUCUUGCCUAUGCAGUCGGAGAGAUUGAGGUCUGCAGCGUAGAUCCUUCGGGGCUAAAUGCAUUUGUGCUAAGUUAUAGCAUUUUAUAGACAACUUGUUGACUAUGAUUUGUCUUGUAGCUUACUCGCUUAUGUUAUUUUACCUACGCUUAGGAUGUUGAAUCUGUGCGAGACUAC
This 773-nucleotide ribosomal RNA is filed under the name uncultured Neocallimastigales. RNAcentral describes it as "partial large subunit ribosomal RNA". It matches the Rfam family "Eukaryotic large subunit ribosomal RNA", at positions 26 to 644 of the family's 3401-position model. The record is from RNAcentral. Lineage: Eukaryota; Fungi; Neocallimastigomycota; Neocallimastigomycetes; Neocallimastigales.